CAAAGUGGAGUGGUGAGGGAAGAGGGAAGAGGGGAGACCUACUCCUUGGCCCCCAGAACCACCGAUGAACACCUUGCUGCUGCCCUCAAGACUGGAAAUGGGCAGCUGGCCACCACUGGCUGCUAGUGCUGUGGAAGACAGAUUAGAAUUUAGCAAUCUAUCUGUGGUGAGCAAGUGUCCAUGUGUGCACCCUACCUGUUGUACUGAGACUUGUCACUGUCUGGGACAGCCCCUGACUGGACAACUGUAAGGAGGAUGCAGGAACCAGACGCGGAUCACCUCCUUCUCCAUGUUGAGCUUCUCGGCAAUGAGCAAGAUCUCCUCUGAGGUGCGAGCAAACUGCUCCAGUUCCUCCAGGUCACUGGGCUCCUCAGGGUGAGAGGGCACCGGAGUCACCGUGUGCACACUGCUUUCCGCAACCUUGUCUCUCUGCCAUAUACCAGACAAAUACAAGACUCAAGCAUGAGUGCCCAAUUUGUA
This is a long non-coding RNA of Myxocyprinus asiaticus (Chinese sucker), 480 nucleotides long. RefSeq lists it as uncharacterized. NCBI's taxonomy places the organism in Eukaryota, Metazoa, Chordata, Actinopteri, Cypriniformes, Catostomidae. The transcript is spliced from 4 exons. The record is from RefSeq and is a predicted model, not a curated record.